UUGGUGCUUGCAUCAUGAUUUACAUUUGAGUGAGUGGCGAACUGGUGAGUAACACGUGGGAAACCUGCCCAGAAGCGGGGGAUAACACCUGGAAACAGAUGCUAAUACCGCAUAACAACUUGGACCGCAUGGUCCGAGCUUGAAAGAUGGCUUCGGCUAUCACUUUUGGAUGGUCCCGCGGCGUAUUAGCUAGAUGGUGGGGUAACGGCUCACCAUGGCAAUGAUACGUAGCCGACCUGAGAGGGUAAUCGGCCACAUUGGGACUGAGACACGGCCCAAACUCCUACGGGAGGCAGCAGUAGGGAAUCUUCCACAAUGGACGAAAGUCUGAUGGAGCAACGCCGCGUGAGUGAAGAAGGGUUUCGGCUCGUAAAACUCUGUUGUUAAAGAAGAACAUAUCUGAGAGUAACUGUUCAGGUAUUGACGGUAUUUAACCAGAAAGCCACGGCUAACUACGUGCCAGCAGCCGCGGUAAUACGUAGGUGGCAAGCGUUGUCCGGAUUUAUUGGGCGUAAAGCGAGCGCAGGCGGUUUUUUAAGUCUGAUGUGAAAGCCUUCGGCUCAACCGAAGAAGUGCAUCGGAAACUGGGAAACUUGAGUGCAGAAGAGGACAGUGGAACUCCAUGUGUAGCGGUGAAAUGCGUAGAUAUAUGGAAGAACACCAGGGGCGAAGGCGGCUGUCUGGUCUGUAACUGACGCUGAGGCUCGAAAGUAUGGGUAGCAAACAGGAUUAGAUACCCUGGUAGUCCAUACCGUAAACGAUGAAUGCUAAGUGUUGGAGGGUUUCCGCCCUUCAGUGCUGCAGCUAACGCAUUAAGCAUUCCGCCUGGGGAGUACGGCCGCAAGGCUGAAACUCAAAGGAAUUGACGGGGGCCCGCACAAGCGGUGGAGCAUGUGGUUUAAUUCGAAGCUACGCGAAGAACCUUACCAGGUCUUGACAUACUAUGCAAAUCUAAGAGAUUAGACGUUCCCUUCGGGGACAUGGAUACAGGUGGUGCAUGGUUGUCGUCAGCUCGUGUCGUGAGAUGUUGGGUUAAGUCCCGCAACGAGCGCAACCCUUAUUAUCAGUUGCCAGCAUUAAGUUGGGCACUCUGGUGAGACUGCCGGUGACAAACCGGAGGAAGGUGGGGAUGACGUCAAAUCAUCAUGCCCCUUAUGACCUGGGCUACACACGUGCUACAAUGGAUGGUACAACGAGUUGCGAACUCGCGAGAGUAAGCUAAUCUCUUAAAGCCAUUCUCAGUUCGGAUUGUAGGCUGCAACUCGCCUACAUGAAGUCGGAAUCGCUAGUAAUCGCGGAUCAGCAUGCCGCGGUGAAUACGUUCCCGGGCCUUGUACACACCGCCCGUCACACCAUGAGAGUUUG
Molecule: ribosomal RNA, 1365 nt
Filed under: Lactiplantibacillus plantarum
Lineage: Bacteria; Bacillati; Bacillota; Bacilli; Lactobacillales; Lactobacillaceae
Description: bacterial SSU rRNA
Rfam family: Bacterial small subunit ribosomal RNA
Source: RNAcentral